This 274-nucleotide ribosomal RNA is filed under the name uncultured bacterium. RNAcentral describes it as "partial 16S ribosomal RNA". It matches the Rfam family "Bacterial small subunit ribosomal RNA", at positions 523 to 796 of the family's 1533-position model. The record is from RNAcentral.
AUACGGAGGGUGCAAGCGUUAAUCGGAAUUACUGGGCGUAAAGAGUACGUAGGUGGUUUGUUUAGUCAGAUGUGAAAGCCCAGGGCUCAACCUUGGAACUGCAUUUGAUACUGGCAAACUAGAGUAUGGUAGAGGGGGGUAGAAUUCAUAGUGUAGCGGUGAAAUGCGUAGAUAUUAUGAGGAAUACCGGUGGCGAAGGCGGCCCCCUGGCCCAAUACUGACACUGAGGUACGAAAGCGUGGGUAGCGAACAGGAUUAGAUACCCCAGUAGUCC